Molecule: small nuclear RNA, 302 nt
Filed under: Ophiophagus hannah (king cobra)
Lineage: Eukaryota; Metazoa; Chordata; Lepidosauria; Squamata; Elapidae
Description: 7SK RNA
Rfam family: 7SK RNA
About the family: 7SK was discovered as an abundant small nuclear RNA in the mid-70s but a possible function has only recently been suggested. Two independent studies have found that 7SK RNA binds the CDK9/cyclin T complex (known as elongation factor P-TEFb).
Source: Rfam by way of RNAcentral
AUGUGAGGCUGGUUUAACUGCAACAUCUGUUAACAUUGAUAAUGAUGGAUGAUCCAGAUGAUCAGCUGGCUAGCUGGCUGUCCCCCUUCCUCCCUUAUCACUCUUGUACAUUCCUCCCAGAGCUGCAUGCUUGGUGGAAGAGGUCAGCCUUCCCAGAUACAAGGAGCAUAGUAAUCUUUGGUCAAGGGUAUAUGAUAGAUGUACUAGAACUACCACACAAGCUCAAAAGCAGACAAGAGAGCAGUUUAGGAAAAAUCUAUCCAAAUCCUGUCAAAGAUGCGUCAAAUGGCAUCAAAUCUGGA